This 2155-nucleotide ribosomal RNA is filed under the name human gut metagenome. RNAcentral's name for it is "bacterial LSU rRNA". It matches the Rfam family "Bacterial large subunit ribosomal RNA", at positions 15 to 2044 of the family's 2925-position model. The record is from RNAcentral.
AGGGCGUAUGGUGGAUGCCUUGGCAGACAGUACCGAUGAAGGACGUUUGAGGCUGCGAUAUGCCUCGGGGAGCCGCCAGCAGGGCUUUGAUCCGAGGAUUUCCGAAUGGGGGAACCCGCCGGCCGUCAUGGGCCGGCACCGCGUUCGCGCGGGGGGUACGCAGGGAAGUGAAACAUCUCAGUACCUGCAGGAAAGGAUGUUCCGUGAGUAGUGGCGAGCGAAAGCGGAUCAGGCCAAACCGCGCGCGUGUGACAGGCGCCAGCCGUUGCGCGCGUGGUGUUGAGGGAGCGUGUGUCCGGGUCCUGGCGGGCCCGGCCGGAGUGAUAAAACGGCGUGUGAGGCGAACCGGAUUGAAUGCCGGGCCGCAGAGGGUGAUGGCCCCGUAGCCGAACGCGCGUCGUCUCCGGAUCGUGUCUCCCAAGUAGCGCGGGACUCGUGGAAUCCCGUGUGAAUCCGCCCCGACCGUGGGGUAAGCCUAGAUAUACCUGUCUGACCGAUAGCGAACUAGUACCGUGAGGGAAAGGUGAAAAGCACCCCGGGAGGGGAGUGAAACAGUCUCUGAAACCGUGCGCUUACAAACCGUCGGAGCCUUUCGGGGUGACGGCGUGCCUAUCGAAAAAUGAGUCUGCGAGUCAGUGGCACGUGGCGAGCGUAACCCGUGUGGGGUACGCGUAGCGAAGGCGAGUCUCAAAAGGCGUUUGAGUCGCGUGUCCUGGACCCGAAGCGGGAUGAUCUAGCCCUGAGCAGGUUGAAGCGCGGGUAAGACCGCGUGGAGGACCGAACCCACCUGGGUUGAAAACCGGGGGGAUGACCUGGGGCUAGGGGUGAAAGGCCAAUCAAAUUCCGUGAUAGCUGGUUCUCUCCGAAAUGCAUUUAGGUGCAGCGUCGGUUGAUUGCGUCGCGGGGGUAGAGCUACCGGAUGCUUGCGGGCCCUUGUUGGGUACCAACAGCAGCCGAACUCCGAAUACCGUUGACGUGUAUUCCGGCAGUGAGUCGGCGGGGGAUAAGCUCCGUCGUCGAGAGGGAGACAGCCCAGACCGUCGUCUAAGGUCCCGAAGCGUGUGCUAAGUGGGAAAGGAUGUGGAGUCGCAUAGACAGCCAGGAGGUUGGCUCAGAAGCAGCCAUCCUUGAAAGAGUGCGUAACAGCUCACUGGUCUAGUGGUUCCGCGCCGACAAUGUAGCGGGGCUCAAGCACGCCACCGAAGACGCGGCAGCGUCCGUUUGGAUGCUGGGUAGGAGAGCGUCCCCAUCGGGGCGAAGCGGCGGCGCAAGCCUGCCGUGGACCGUUGGGGAGUGAGAAUGCAGACAUGAGUAGCGAGAGGCGGGUGCGAAUCCCGCCCGCUGGAUGACCAAGGGUUCCGGGGCCACGUUCGUCGUCCCCGGGUGAGUCGGGUCCUAAGGCGAGGCCGACAGGCGUAGUCGAAUGGAUGAACGGGCUGAUAUUCCCGUACCGGCAGCGAACCGAAACAACCGAGGCCUGGGGCGCUAACCUCCGGGUCCGUGCCGUCUCCCCUUUCGGGGGGUCGCGGCGCGGGCGCGUUGGGAUCCCCCCUCGUAGUAGGUCAGCGCAGGAGUGACGCAUCAGGGCAGCCGGCCGCGGAGGUGGUUUUCCGUGGUCAAGCGUUCGAGCCCGUCCCGCAGGCAAAUCCGCGGGGCGUCGGGGCGAGGCGUGAUGAUGGGGGCCUUACGGCCCGAAUCCGGUGAUCCGUGGUGCCGAGAAAAGCUUCGGCGUCAGGCGCGUUGCCGCCCGUACCCCAAACCGACACUGGUGGUCAGGUAGAGAAUACCAAAGCGAUCGAGCGAAUCCUGGUCAAGGAACUCGGCAAAUUGCUCCCGUGCCUUCGGCAUAAGGGAGACCCCCUGCGGUGAUGAGCGGCGGGGGGUGGCACAGGCCAGGGGGUAGCGACUGUUUACCAAAAACACAGGAGCGUGCGAAGGCGCAAGCCGCUGUAUACGCUCUGACGCCUGCCCGGUGCCGGAAGGUUAAGAGGAUCCGUCAGCUUCUGCGAAGCGGUGAAUUCAAGCCCCGGUAAACGGCGGUGGUAACAAUAACCAUCCUAAGGUAGCGAAAUUCCUUGUCGGGUAAGUUCCGACCUGCACGAAUGGCGUAACGACUUCCCCACUGUCUCGACCAGGAGCUCGGCGAAAUUGCAGU